This 73-nucleotide transfer RNA is filed under the name Camelus bactrianus (Bactrian camel). It matches the Rfam family "tRNA". Rfam says of the family: Transfer RNA (tRNA) molecules are approximately 80 nucleotides in length. Their secondary structure includes four short double-helical elements and three loops (D, anti-codon, and T loops). Further hydrogen bonds mediate the characteristic L-shaped molecular structure. tRNAs have two regions of fundamental functional importance: the anti-codon, which is responsible for specific mRNA codon recognition, and the 3' end, to which the tRNAs corresponding amino acid is attached (by aminoacyl-tRNA synthetases). tRNAs cope with the degeneracy of the genetic code in two manners: having more than one tRNA (with a specific anti-codon) for a particular amino acid; and 'wobble' base-pairing, i.e. permitting non-standard base-pairing at the 3rd anti-codon position. RNAcentral also lists the same sequence under 2 other names. The record is from Rfam by way of RNAcentral. Lineage: Eukaryota; Metazoa; Chordata; Mammalia; Artiodactyla; Camelidae.
GAGGGUAGAGCUCAAGUGGUAGAGCGCAUGUUUAGCAUGCAUGAGGUCCUGGGUUCAAGCCCCAGUACCUCCC